GCGGGCGUAGCUCAGUUGGUUAGAGCGCCAGAUGGUGGCCCUGGAGGUCGUGAGUUCGAUUCUCGUCGCCCGCCCCA
Molecule: transfer RNA, 77 nt
Filed under: Candidatus Gallimonas intestinigallinarum
Lineage: Bacteria; Bacillati; Bacillota; Clostridia
Description: tRNA-His
Rfam family: tRNA
About the family: Transfer RNA (tRNA) molecules are approximately 80 nucleotides in length. Their secondary structure includes four short double-helical elements and three loops (D, anti-codon, and T loops).
Source: RNAcentral